AGUGAACGCUGGCGGUAGGCCUAACACAUGCAAGUCGAACGGCAGCACAGUAAGAGCUUGCUCUUACGGGUGGCGAGUGGCGGACGGGUGAGGAAUACAUCGGAAUCUACUUUAUCGUGGGGGAUAACGUAGGGAAACUUACGCUCAUACCGCAUCCGACCUACGGGUGAAAGCAGGGGAUCUUCGGACCUUGCGCGAUUGAAUGAGCCGAUGUCGGAUUAGCUAGUUGGCGGGGUAAAGGCCCACCAAGGCGACGAUCCGUAGCUGGUCUGAGAGGAUGAUCAGCCACACUAGAACUGAGACACGGUCCAGACUCCUAGGGGAGGCAGCAGUGGGGAAUAUUGGACAAUGGGCGCAAGCUUGAUCCAGCCAUACCGCGUGAGUGAAGAAGGCCUUCGGGGUGGAAAGCCCUUUUGUUGGGAAAGAAAAGCAGCAGGUUAAUACCCCGCUGUUCUGACGGUACCCAAAGAAUAAGCACCGGCUAACUUCGUG
RNAcentral lists this ribosomal RNA (492 nucleotides) under uncultured bacterium. Its description in RNAcentral is "partial 16S ribosomal RNA". It matches the Rfam family "Bacterial small subunit ribosomal RNA", at positions 29 to 507 of the family's 1533-position model. The record is from RNAcentral.